CAAGAUUGUCCUUCAGAAUCGUCUAAAGGAUUUCAGUACACACGUGGACCAGAAGUCCAAGCCAGAGCUCCCAGAGAAGAAUUUUCAAGACACAAAAUUGAAAUAGCUUAAACCACAAUGAAUAGAAUUAUGCCAAUGAUUUCCUAUUGUGGUGCAGUGGUUUAAGGAC
Molecule: long non-coding RNA, 169 nt
Filed under: Sus scrofa (pig)
Lineage: Eukaryota; Metazoa; Chordata; Mammalia; Artiodactyla; Suidae
Description: lncRNA (ENSSSCG00070023988.1)
Source: RNAcentral